CCCCCUUGUAUUUUGGAAUAACUGGAUCUCCAAGAUGUGCUCCAAUAGAAUAUGGCUACUACCUACAGUUCUGCCCGAGGAGGAUUAGUUGAUCUCAAUGCAAAACAAGUAGUUUAGGAAAAUUGUCAUCUAACCUUUCAAACAAUAACUUGUGAAGACGAAAACCUCGGAGCUAACAUUAAAAAUAAAGACAAAACCCUAAGUAAUAAUAAAAAAACUAACAACUAAAUCAAAUUGACAAGGUAGAAAAACACCAUUGAGAAAUCAACUAAAUAUAUACCUUGAUUCACUAUAAUAAAUUUGAUAAUGGAAAUAUAUAAAAAUACAUAUUGCAUAAUGAAAUCAAAUUUACAUAAAAAUGAACAUACUAAACAAUAGAAAACUUAUCUUUCUCUUUC
Molecule: long non-coding RNA, 398 nt
Filed under: Sorghum bicolor (sorghum)
Lineage: Eukaryota; Viridiplantae; Streptophyta; Magnoliopsida; Poales; Poaceae
Description: long non-coding RNA (SBIC_LNC010264)
Source: RNAcentral